Felis catus (domestic cat) is the source of this 73-nucleotide transfer RNA. It matches the Rfam family "tRNA". From Rfam's summary of the family: Transfer RNA (tRNA) molecules are approximately 80 nucleotides in length. Their secondary structure includes four short double-helical elements and three loops (D, anti-codon, and T loops). NCBI's taxonomy places the organism in Eukaryota, Metazoa, Chordata, Mammalia, Carnivora, Felidae. The record is from Rfam.
GCCUGGCUGGCUCAGUCGGUAGAGCAUGUGACUCUUGAUCUUGGGGUCGUGAGUCCAAGCCCCAUGUUGGGUG